UACCAGCUCUCCGAGUGGUAGGGAUGAUUAUUGGGCUUAAAGCGUCCGUAGCCGGCUUAGCAAGUCUCCUGUUAAAUUCAGCGACCUAAUCGUUGAGCCGCGGGAGAUACUACUAGGCUAGGAGGCGGGAGAGGUCGACGGUACUUCCGGGGUAGGGGUGAAAUCCUAUAAUCCCGGGAGGACCACCAGUGGCGAAGGCUGUCGACUAGAACGCGCUCGACGGUGAGGGACGAAAGCUGGGGGAGCGAACCGGAUUAGAUACCCGGGUAGUCCCAGCUGUAAACGAUGCGGGCUAGGUGUUGGGAUGGCUACGUGCCAUUUCAGUGCCGCAGGGAAGCCAUUAAGCCCGCCGCCUGGGGAGUACGGCCGCAAGGCUGAAACUUAAGGGAAUUGGCGGGGGAGCACCACAAGGCGUGAAGCUUGCGGUUC
This 429-nucleotide ribosomal RNA is filed under the name uncultured archaeon. RNAcentral's name for it is "bacterial SSU rRNA". It matches the Rfam family "Archaeal small subunit ribosomal RNA", at positions 474 to 903 of the family's 1478-position model. The record is from RNAcentral.